This 346-nucleotide ribosomal RNA is filed under the name uncultured bacterium. RNAcentral's name for it is "partial 16S ribosomal RNA". It matches the Rfam family "Bacterial small subunit ribosomal RNA", at positions 338 to 681 of the family's 1533-position model. The record is from RNAcentral.
CCUACGGGAGGCAGCAGUGAGGAAUAUUGGUCAAUGGCCGUAAGGCUGAACCAGCCAAGUCGCGGGAAGGAAGAAGGAGCUAUGGUUUGUAAACUUCUUUUAUAGGGGAAUAAAGGUAUCCACGUGUGGAGAUUUGCAUAUACCCUAUGAAUAAGCAUCGGCUAACUCCGUGCCAGCAGCCGCGGUAAUACGGAGGAUGCGAGCGUUAUCCGGAUUUAUUGGGGUUAAAGGGUGCGUAGGUUGUUUUUUAAGUCAGCGGUGAAAGUUUGUGGCUCAACCAUAAAAUUGCCGUUGAAACUGGUAGCCUUGAGUGUGUUUGCGGUCGGCGGCCUGCGUGGUGUAGCGG